Molecule: ribosomal RNA, 877 nt
Filed under: uncultured Nitrososphaerota archaeon
Lineage: Archaea; Thermoproteati; Nitrososphaerota
Description: bacterial SSU rRNA
Rfam family: Archaeal small subunit ribosomal RNA
Source: RNAcentral
ACCUGACUGCUAUCGGAUUGAUACUAAGCCAUGCGAGUCAUUGUAGCAAUACAAGGCAGACGGCUCAGUAACACGUAGUCAAUCUAACCUAUGGACGGGGAUAACCUCGGGAAACUGAGAAUAAUAUCCGAUAGGCCACUAUGCCUGGAAUGGUUUGUGGCCCAAAUGAUUUAUCGCCGUAGGAUGGGACUGCGGUCUAUCAGCUUGUUGGUGAGGUAAUGGCCCACCAAGGCUAUAACAGAUACGGGCUCUGAGAGGAGAGGCCCGGAGAUGGGUACUGAGACACGGACCCAGGCCCUAUGGGGCGCAGCAGGCGAGAAAACUUUGCAAUGUGCGAAAGCACGACAAGGUUAAUCCGAGUGUUUUCUGCUAAAGAAAUCUUUUACCGGUCUUAAAACCACCGGCGAAUAAGGGGUGGGCAAGUUCUGGUGUCAGCCGCCGCGGUAAAACCAGCACCUCAAGUGGUCAGGAGGAUUAUUGGGCCUAAAGCAUCCGUAGCCUGCCGUGUAAGUUUUCGGUUAAAUCUAUGCGCUCAACGCAUAGGCUGCCGGAAAUACUGCACGGCUAGGGAGUGGGAGAGGUAGACGGUACUCGGUAGGAAGGGGUAAAAUCCUCUGAUCUAUCGAUGACCCCCUGUGGCGAAGGCGGUCUACUAGAACACGUCCGACGGUGAGGGAUGAAAGCUGGGGGAGCAAACCGGAUUAGAUACCCGGGUAGUCCCAGCUGUAAACAAUGCAAACUCAGUGAUGCAUUGGCGUAAGAGCCAGUGCAGUGCCGCAGGGAAGCCGUUAAGUUUGUCGCCUGGGAAGUACGUACGCAAGUAUGAAACUUAAAGGAAUUGGCGGGGGAGCACCACAAGGGGUGAAGCCUGCGGUUC